This 28-nucleotide small RNA is filed under the name Bombyx mori (domestic silkworm). RNAcentral describes it as "ovarian small RNA-37958". The record is from RNAcentral. Lineage: Eukaryota; Metazoa; Arthropoda; Insecta; Lepidoptera; Bombycidae.
UUGCUUCCAGAAGUCUAUGCGCUCAAUA